CCAAAGGUCUAUUUUCCCUCUCUAAAGAACCCUGAUCAAAUUAUCCCCAACCCAUGGCUCUAAUCUUAAAAACAAAACCUAGCGGCAUGUGGGUUCUUCGUCGCGCAAACAUGCACUCUUCUUCUUCCUUUUCUCUUUGUUUCUAUUUUUGGUUGCAGUUUUCGCAAGGAGGAAAGGGGUUUUGCGUUAACGUGGCUUGGUGGUGGUGAGGCGCUAGACCUGUGAUUUGUGGCGCUUCAUUAUCGACAUCCGGUGCUCUAGCGUGUUCAUGGCGAAGGGAAGUCGCGUUUGGGUUGUGAUUUUGGGUGGUUCCUUUUUAUUCUUUUCUGUAGAUUGGUGGGGUGAAGUUUAGGGUUCUUGGACUUGUAGCGCUUUGAUGGUCGCGAAAUUUGUGGUUUGUGGUUCACAGGUUGUUGACUUGGAUUUUUGGGGUUUUUGUUUUUGUGUUCUUGCUCUUGUGGAUUGAGGUUAGGGUUUUUGAUUUGGAUUUUUUUUUGGGUUUCUUUUCUUCACGAUUCUAUGCUCUCGCUGUUGUUAGUGAUGAUUGUGCGAGUUAAGGCAAUGGAGGUGCUGAUGGGUUGCAACCAUGGGGGCUUGUGGUAGUGCACACGAAGUUGGACUCAUGAAGAGUCCGCGAAUGUGGAUGUUCUUGUUCGUUAAUGUUGCGGUGGUUACCAGUGACGUUGGACCUUGGUUUGGUUUGGGCUGGGCCUAGCUGAGCCUAUAUUUUGGACAUUGGUUUUGUAAAGGGAAAGACGAAAACAUUAAUAAAUAAAAAAAUAAUAAUAAUGAAAAUUAAAAAAAAUUGAUAUAUAAGUAAGUAUAAG
This 827-nucleotide small RNA is filed under the name Vigna angularis var. angularis. RNAcentral describes it as "Non-protein coding transcript". The record is from RNAcentral. Lineage: Eukaryota; Viridiplantae; Streptophyta; Magnoliopsida; Fabales; Fabaceae.